This 253-nucleotide ribosomal RNA is filed under the name uncultured bacterium. Its description in RNAcentral is "partial 16S ribosomal RNA". It matches the Rfam family "Bacterial small subunit ribosomal RNA", at positions 524 to 776 of the family's 1533-position model. The record is from RNAcentral.
UACGUAGGGUGCAAGCGUUAAUCGGAAUUACUGGGCGUAAAGCGCACGUAGGCGGUUUUGUAAGUCUGUCGUGAAAUCCCCGGGCUCAACCUGGGAAUUGCGAUGGAGACUGCAAGGCUAGAAUCUGGCAGAGGGGGGUAGAAUUCCACGUGUAGCAGUGAAAUGCGUAGAGAUGUGGAGGAACACCGAUGGCGAAGGCAGCCCCCUGGGUCAAGAUUGACGCUCAUGCACGAAAGCGUGGGGAGCAAACAGG